GACGAACGCUGGCGGCGUGCCUAAUACAUGCAAGUAGAACGCUGAAGGAGGAGCUUGCUCUUCUGGAUGAGUUGCGAACGGGUGAGUAACGCGUAGGUAACCUGCCUGGUAGCGGGGGAUAACUAUUGGAACUCGAUAGCUAAUACCGCAUAAGAGUAGAUGUCGCAUGACAUUUGCUUAAAAGGUGCAAUUGCAUCACUACCAGAUGGACCUGCGUUGUAUUAGCUAGUUGGUGAGGUAACGGCUCACCAAGGCAACGAUACAUAGCCGACCUGAGAGGGUGAUCGGCCACACUGGGACUGAGACACGGCCCAGACUCCUACGGGAGGCAGCGGUAGGGAAUCUUCGGCAAUGGACGGAAGUCUGACCGAGCAACGCCGCGUGAGUGAAGAA
Molecule: ribosomal RNA, 393 nt
Filed under: Streptococcus sp. oral taxon 064
Lineage: Bacteria; Bacillati; Bacillota; Bacilli; Lactobacillales; Streptococcaceae
Description: bacterial SSU rRNA
Rfam family: Bacterial small subunit ribosomal RNA
Source: RNAcentral